GGAGAGGUGGCAGAGCCCGGUUGAAUGCACCUGACUCGAAAUCAGACGUAGUCGAAAGGCUACCGGGGGUUCGAAUCCCUCCCUCUCCGCCA
Molecule: transfer RNA, 92 nt
Filed under: Silvibacterium bohemicum
Lineage: Bacteria; Pseudomonadati; Acidobacteriota; Terriglobia; Terriglobales; Acidobacteriaceae
Description: tRNA-Ser
Rfam family: tRNA
About the family: Transfer RNA (tRNA) molecules are approximately 80 nucleotides in length.
Source: RNAcentral